GCUCAGGAUGAACGCUAGCUACAGGCUUAACACAUGCAAGUCGAGGGGUAGCAGGGUAGCAAUACCGCUGACGACCGGCGCACGGGUGAGUAACACGUAUCCAACCUUCCCAUUACUCGGGGAUAGCCUUUCGAAAGAAAGAUUAAUACCCGAUAGUACUUUUUCGAGGCAUCUCGUAAAAAGUUAAAGAUUUAUUGGUAAUGGAUGGGGAUGCGUUCCAUUAGAUUGUUGGUGAGGUAACGGCUCACCAAGUCUUCGAUGGAUAGGGGUUCUGAGAGGAAGGUCCCCCACAUUGGUACUGAGACACGGACCAAACUCCUACGGGAGGCAGCAGUGAGGAAUAUUGGUCAAUGGGCGAGAGCCUGAACCAGCCAAGUAG
Molecule: ribosomal RNA, 379 nt
Filed under: uncultured Bacteroidales bacterium
Lineage: Bacteria; Pseudomonadati; Bacteroidota; Bacteroidia; Bacteroidales
Description: bacterial SSU rRNA
Rfam family: Bacterial small subunit ribosomal RNA
Source: RNAcentral